UCCUCUGUGGCGCAAUUGGCUAGCGCGUCGUAAGUCCAAUCCACUUGGUUUAUGUAAAUAUUCACCAACUAAUCCUAUCAUCGUAGUGACUGUUAAUCAGGAGGUUGGAAGUUCGAGCCUUCCCGGAGGAG
RNAcentral lists this transfer RNA (131 nucleotides) under Daldinia vernicosa. RNAcentral describes it as "tRNA-Trp". The record is from RNAcentral. Lineage: Eukaryota; Fungi; Ascomycota; Sordariomycetes; Xylariales; Hypoxylaceae.